GACGGAAGGUGCAAGCGUUGUUCGGAAUCACUGGGCGUAAAGGGCGCGUAGGCGGUUAGGUAAGUCGGGCGUGAAAUCCCUGGGCUCAACCCAGGAACUGCACUCGAAACUGCUUGUCUUGAGUGCCGGAGAGGAAAGCGGAAUUCCUGGUGUAGAGGUGAAAUUCGUAGAUAUCAGGAGGAACACCGGUGGCGAAGGCGGCUUUCUGGACGGUGACUGACGCUGAGACGCGAAAGCGUGGGGAGCAAACAGG
This 253-nucleotide ribosomal RNA is filed under the name uncultured bacterium. RNAcentral describes it as "partial 16S ribosomal RNA". It matches the Rfam family "Bacterial small subunit ribosomal RNA", at positions 524 to 776 of the family's 1533-position model. The record is from RNAcentral.